This is a long non-coding RNA of Bos taurus (domestic cattle), 947 nucleotides long. The record is from Ensembl. NCBI's taxonomy places the organism in Eukaryota, Metazoa, Chordata, Mammalia, Artiodactyla, Bovidae.
AAGUAAACAUACUGUCAUGUCUGAUGUUUGUAGCAGAAUGAAAAGGGCGGGAAAAAAACCUACCAGCGAUUUCAGCGGCAGAAAUCUGGUGAAGACUGCAGUUUUCACAGCUAUCUUUACUGUGUGUGGACGAAAAACGCGACGGCUCUGACUGAGGGUUCUGGGGCUUGAGAUGCCUUUUGCCAAGUAUGAUUUCACACCUUGGAGAGGACAGAUGCUCAUCUGAGAGGUUUAACCCAGAGGACCCACUGACGGCCGUGCCUUUUAAAAUGGACUCAACCACAGCCUUUAAAAGGGAAAUUGCAUGGUCAUUGUGUUUGGGUAUAAUUGACCAACGAAUUUUCUUGAUUCAAAAAUCCUGGGGAAGAAAAACCUAAACAUCUUUUAUAGAAGCAGCAGAACAGAGCCUUCCAAAAACCCACAUGGUGUGUCAAUAUUGUUUUAGGACCACGUGAAGCUAUUUGGAAAUCAAUAUGUAAACGUUUUUAUGAAGUGAGCCAUACGUCAAAUGAGAAAGGACAAAAGGAAUACAAUUGGGAAGAAGAAAAUACAGAGUGUCUGUUUAUGGCAUCACUUAAUACGUCUGUUUUCCUCUAGGCAAAGUUUCUUUAUUAUUGUUGAUGUGAUUCUUUUUAUUCCAUUUUCUGUACCACGAGCAGAGUGCAGGCGGAUUCUUUACCAGCUGAGCCACCAGGGAAGCCCAAGAAUACUGGAGUGGGCAGCCUAUCCCUUCUGCAGGGGGUCUGAACCGGGAUCUCCUGCAUCGCAGGCGGAUUCUUUACCAGCUGAGCCGCUGUAACUAAGAAACAAAAUCAUCUCCAGACACCAUGGACCACAGCCGUAAUUCUGCCACCGACUUUCUGCUUGACCUUGGAUAAGACACCGGGUUUCUUGGCCUGAAUUUCUUCAUCUGCAACAUGAGGAGUUUGAACUCAAAGAUAUUAUAU